Molecule: ribosomal RNA, 709 nt
Filed under: Russula aff. puiggarii
Lineage: Eukaryota; Fungi; Basidiomycota; Agaricomycetes; Russulales; Russulaceae
Description: partial large subunit ribosomal RNA
Rfam family: Eukaryotic large subunit ribosomal RNA
Source: RNAcentral
CGCUGGACCAUGCACAAGUCUCCUGGAAUGGAGCGUCAUAGAGGGUGAGAAUCCCGUCUUUGGCAUGGAUCCCAGGGCUUCUGUGAUGCGCUCUCGACGAGUCGAGUUGUUUGGGAAUGCAGCUCAAAAUGGGUGGUGAACUCCAUCUAAAGCUAAAUAUUGGCGAGAGACCGAUAGCGAACAAGUACCGUGAGGGAAAGAUGAAAAGCACUUUGGAAAGAGAGUGAAACAGUACGUGAAAUUGUUGAAAGGGAAACGCUUGAAGUCAGUCGCGUUGACCGAGACUCAACCUUGCUUUGGCUUGGUGUAUUUCUCGGCUGACGGGUCAGCAUCAAUUUUGACCCUCAGAUAAUGACAAGGGAAAGGUGGCACCUUUUAGGUGUGUUAUAGUCCCAUGUCGCAUGUGAGGGUUGGGAUUGAGGAACUCAGCAUGCACCUCUGGGUGUCGGGGCUUUGGCCCACGUUACAUGCUUAGGAUGCUGGCGUAAUGGCUUUAAACGACCCGUCUUGAAACACGGACCAAGGAGUCUAACAUACCCGCGAGUGUUCGGGUGGAAAACCCGUGCGCGUAAUGAAAGUAAAAGUUGGGACCUCUGUCGUGGAGGGCACCGACGCCCGGACCAGACCUUCUGUGACGGCUCUGCGGUAGAGCGUGUAUGUUGGGACCCGAAAGAUGGUGAACUAUGCCUGAAUAGGGUGAAGCCAGAGG